This 731-nucleotide long non-coding RNA is filed under the name Amborella trichopoda. RNAcentral describes it as "long non-coding RNA (ATRI_LNC004380)". Lineage: Eukaryota; Viridiplantae; Streptophyta; Magnoliopsida; Amborellales; Amborellaceae. The record is from RNAcentral.
GGCUGUCCAUGAAAAUUAUGGGAAAAAGGAAAGGAAAAUUCAUCAAAUUACCCCCAAGAGAUAAUGAUUUAACAACUUACCCAUAUCUUUUGAUUUAAUUUCAUACUAUCCAUAAAAAAACACAUGAUCUAUAGUUGGAAUAGUUGCAAAUAGAUAAAAUGUUAAAGAAAAGUAUACAACGAGGAUAUUUACCUUCGAUACAAGGUGAUUACAAUUAAUCUUGACCAUUGGAUGUGAAAUUGGGUGGCUAUAUUUAUUGCAUUGUUCAAGCUCAAAAGUCAAUAGAAAUUUUUUCGAACUUUGUGACACACGCAAGCUAUUUGAUUUCACAUCGGAUGGUUAUAAGUAAUUGUGACCUCCUUGUACCAAAGGUAAAUGUUCUUAUUGUAUAUAAUCCCAAAUGUUAAAUAGUUCAUCUCUUAUAGGUAUUUGAUAAACUGCCCAUAAGAAAAUUAUGAAUAAUAAAAUUAAAAAAAUAAAAUUGUUAAAAAAUUAAAGAUAUCUUAGAAUACUUAAUAAACAUCACCAGAUUUUAACAUAGUAUCAUUUUUCAUUUUUUUAAUAUCUUGCGAUAAUAUCACAAGAUUUUAAAUGUUGGAAUAUAGUUACCAGUAAUGCUUCAACUCAAUCAUCUUCAUUUUCACUCUAAAAGUGUAUGUAGGAGAAACCCAAAAAACAGAAACUGGCAGAUAGACAUGAAUCUUAGGACAUAAUAAUGACUCAUUCAUCAG